GGAGAAGCAGGCUUCCCGCCGAGCAGGGAGCCCGACGCGGGGCUCGAUCCCAGGACCCUGGUGAUCACGACCUGAGCCAAAGGCAGACGCUUAACGGACUGAGCCACCCAGGCAUUCUCAAAUAAAUAAAUCUCUAAAAUCUUAAAAAAAAAAAAAGUUUUGUUUUUUUUUUUAAAGAUUUUAUUUAUUUAUUUGACAGAGAGAGACACAGCGAGAGAGGGAACACAAGCAGAGGGGAGUGGGAGAGGGAGAAGCAGGCUCCCCGCAGAGCAGGGAGCCCGAUGCGGGGCUCGAUCCCAGGACCCUGGGAUCAUGACCUGAGCCGAAGGCAGACGCUUAACCGACUGGGCCACCCAGGAGGCCCUAUUUAUUUUUUAAAAGAUUUUUAUUUUUGAGUAAUGUCUACACCCAACGUGGGGCUCGAACUCACAACCCCAAGAUCAAGAGUCACACGGUCUACCGACUGAGUCAGCCAGGCACCCCGAUCACUCAAAUUAAAUUGCAGAGAAAAAGAUGACCUUAGGACCUGCAUGAUCCAGAGAAUGGCUUUACCUGUAUCCCUGGUGGACAGGAGGCCUCCACUCCAGGGUCCCCUAGAGAUGCACAAAUAGAUAUAUUAUCAUUUUACAUAUAUAUUAUAGAUAAUAAUAAUACUAUAUUAUCAUAAUUUAUAAUAUAGUAUAUAUUUGUAUUAUAUUUAUAACAUAAUUAUAUUCAAUAAUAUAUAAUAUUGUAUUUAUAGAUAAGUAUAUAUAAAUCUCAUUAAACAUUUUCAUAUUGAUUACAUAUUGAAAUGAAAAUAUUUGGGAUAUAAUUAAUAUAUUUGUCAAAAUUAAUUUUAUUGGCUUCUUUCAAAUUUUUUUUAGUGCUGCUUCUAGAAAAUUAAAAAUCACGUAUGUUGCUUAUAUAAAAUCUAUACCACCCUCGAGGUAGCUUUUGUUUUUUGCAAGUGGUAGAUGCACAGCAGGAUCAUCUCAAACAAGGGUUUUAGUCUCUGGAUCUAUGCCUCAUUGCUCUGAAGCCUCAGAACCCAGACCCCAGGGCGGCCGCAGCUCAAGACUGGAUCUGCAAAGUGUUCCCGGGUCCUCAGUGGCUCAGACGCCCCCAGCAGAGGGGUCAGAAGCGACCUUCAGCCUACAGAGCUGUUCAACACCUCCUGCUCCUGGGCCUUUCCUUUCCUCGUACUGCCCACAUGGAGCCUCUCCGGAUUUCCUGUUAGAUUCAUGAGAGAAAGGGGAUCAAACUGGCCUUGCUAAUGCGUCUUCUCCCACAGCUCUUAUUGUGGAUUCCAACAGCACCCAGCCCUUGCUGGGAUUCUGGACGAAGCAUGGAGGAGGCCCAGCUCCUGGAGGACAAGGUCCGGUCCCCACACCUGCUGUUUACACUCUCCUGCCCUCCUGAGUUGGCAGCAAGAAUACAAGGACUUGCCUUGGCUUCUCAGCAGCUGAGAGGCAGCCAUUUUUGCCUUGAAAGUCACAGGCCUGGGCCCUGCAAGAACUACCAGCUAUUUGUGGAACAGGCCUCACUCAGAAGAGCAGCUUACAAGGACGUCAAGGGCCAAGAGAAAGCCUAGUCGUCAUCGGGGGCCUUGAAACUUUUGAAGUGACUCAGCAAAGCCGUGUACACAAAACUUUAUCAAUUAUGCAUCAUGAGUAAGUCAUUGAAAUGCACAAUGUACUAAUUGAAUAUUACUCUAAUUCAUAGCGAUAUGGAAUAAUUACAAACCCCACCCCAUCCUUCUUCGAAAUGCAGAGGCCGGCAGGAUGGACUGCCCUUGAGAGGCCUUGCAGUUGGGAGAGAUGCCCAGAGUCUGUUAAUAGGAGGCAGUGGAGAGGUGAGGAUCGCUGGGGAUUCUUUCGUGCAUUUCUCCAUCCGUCUUUGCCCAUCCUGCUCUGAUGGCAGAAAUCUAGAUGCGGCAACCCUCAUCCCUCCUCUCUGCUGGGCUCUUGCGUCAGAGGAAGGGCCAGCUCUUUGGCUCCUAACAACAUGUGAUGGACACCCUUCCCCAGCACUGGCCUCUGAAGGGCACGCAUGGGCCUGGGACCCAGUGCCAUCCUCCAGAAGGGCUUCACUUUCACCUCCUAAACCUGGGGUGCAUCCAGAACAAAGAGCCUUGGGUUAUCCUGACACGUGCCAGGUGUCUCAUUAGAUUGAAAGAAAACUUUGUAAAAGAAAUAAGAGUACAGAGGAAUUGAGUUUUUCACAGGGAGCAUUGAGAUGCUUAUAAAUUAGAUUCACUUACAGCGGCCAUCCCCAAGGGGUGAGGUCACGGGUCCCCUCUCAGUCUGCUGCUCUGGUUUUUGGUCUCGGCAUAUAUUCAGUUUCUAAUAAUCAUAAAA
Molecule: long non-coding RNA, 2339 nt
Organism: Mirounga angustirostris (Northern elephant seal)
Lineage: Eukaryota; Metazoa; Chordata; Mammalia; Carnivora; Phocidae
Exons: 2
Source: RefSeq, a predicted model, not a curated record